CCGGCUCUCGCGGACCCCUUCGGAACUAUCUUCUCCACCCGCUGCCCCGCAGCCACAGCCAAUCCCACGAUCCCCUUCUCCAUCCCCCAACGUCGCUCCCAUGAUCCCCUUCUCCACUGGCGCCGCCGCUGCACCCCACUUCCCAUGCCGCACCGUUUCUCUCCCCUCCUUCUGUCCCUGAGUCGUUCGUUGGGGCUUCAUUAUCGGAACUGCUUGGCAAUAGUAAGUUGCAGUCGAGCCGCAGUAGAUUUCGUGGUGGAGGAAUCUUUGAUUAGUCGAUGCGUCUACGUUUCUUCUUCUGCUCCGCUCGCGUUGGAGCCUGUGGGGUUGGGACGCGACACCGCCUGAAGUUGCUUCUUGUUGCCCAUUGUGGUGGUCCGUCAAGGCUUCAUUAUUGGAGCUACUUGGACCUGCACCCUACGGGCGCACCCAGCCGAGCGCCCCAUCCACCAUCCAACAAGCAACGCCGCAGCUGAGGCCCAGUCCAUGAGGCGAGUAGUGCAGCGAGUAGUUAUACAUCAAUGGAUCGAUACAUGUUUGAUUGCGUCCGCGUCUUCCUCUACUCGCUGACAAAGGGUUCUCUUUGUGCCCUCCCUCAACCCCUCGAUAGCUCUUAGCAGCAGGCAGGUCGCCACACACAAGAUCUCUCCAAGUUGCCGGAUUAGAGGAGAGGAAAAAUUGGUAUGUUGUCUCGGAACCUGAGCAUGAAGACAACCCGUAUAAGGAUAUGUCUGAGAGGCCUACGUACAGGUUUACGAACUCAUCUCCAAGUUAUAUUUGAGGCCCAGAGGUCCCUUUUCACUCUCCCCCUCUGCCUUCUCGUCUUCAACCUUGCGACGCAUCUGUGCAUCUGAACACCGCCGCCGCCGACCUCAUCAUCUUCCUCGACUCUGGCCGCUGCAUCACCCUGAAUGAGACCAGAGAAACACGACACCUCUCCGUUGCUCAGCGGACCCAGUAAGAACCUUAUCUUCCCCGCCAUAGAUCUCCAUUAGGGUUUCUGAAGUUCUUAGGAGUUCAUCAUCCUUCUUCAUUAUACUUCUAUUUAAUCCUUACUUGUGUGGCAUUGAUCGGUCAUCACCAAACUUCCAGACAACAGAGGAGGACGAAGAACCGGAGAAGGAUGAACCAGAAGCUUCAAGCCAUCGAGGCCAAGAAGAUUGAUCCGCUGGGCGGUUCACAUAUUUAAUCUUCUGAAAACACUUGAUUACGUUGGCUCACUGAGUCAUGUAAUAGGCUAGUAAAACUUUGAUCUGUCGUGCCAUCGUGCACAUUUUUUUUGUGCAACACUGCUAAUCCGCCAGUUGGAAAAGGACCAUUUUAUGCUUAUGAUAGCAUCCACCAGAUUUAGCAUUAUCCUGCACACAAACAGAUCACAAGUGCCCUGCAAUAUUUGAUCACACUGCCGACUUAUCAUACCAAUGCAGUAAGGGUAACAACCCAAAAGAUUGAGCAUGUAAUUCCCUGUUUAAUUGUCAUAUUCUGCCGGCUUAAAAUGCCGCAUGCAACAAGGGGUACUAUCGCGAAACUUAGAGCGCAAUGCUUCCAAGUAUAUAAUUAUCAUCAUAUACCGGCAACUUAUAGUCCAAAGCCGGGUUGGCUUAUCAAAAAACCAUGGAUAUACUCAAAGAUGAGCGAUAGAAAUUAAGGCUACAUGGCCUGAAUCGGUUUUUAAACCAUAUGUCAAUAUGGUACAAAGAUGAACCCAAAAAAGUUCGAAUAGAAAAAAUAAUAAAGAGGAAAACAAGGCUUUCACAGGCCGCCAAGCCGAAAUCUCAAGUGCUUUCUAAGGGCUGCACAGCCACUGAGUUAAACCUUCAAGCAAACCUUAUAAGACGGGCCUCACAUGACCAAUCGUCGUUUUAACUUUGACAAGUUUAGGGUCUGAUAUAAGAUUGACUGUCAGAAGUAUGGCGGGGCAUUCCAGUCAAUUUGGGCAGAGUGGCGGACUUAAAAAGGCAGGAUAACUCGGGUUUUUAGGUGAAUACACCUGGCUUCUAAGCCUGGCUUUUAAGCCUAUUACAAGGGUCAUAAAAACUCUUGUCCAUUGAACAAAGAGCCCCCAAGUAACAUUUUAUUAAGGGCAUA
This is a long non-coding RNA of Triticum aestivum (bread wheat), 2088 nucleotides long. RefSeq lists it as uncharacterized. Lineage: Eukaryota; Viridiplantae; Streptophyta; Magnoliopsida; Poales; Poaceae. The record is from RefSeq and is a predicted model, not a curated record. The transcript is spliced from 3 exons.